GACGAACGCUGGCGGCGUGCUUAACACAUGCAAGUCGAACGGAAAGGCCCUGCUUUUGUGGGGUGCUCGAGUGGCGAACGGGUGAGUAACACGUGAGUAACCUGCCCUUGACUUUGGGAUAACUUCAGGAAACUGGGGCUAAUACCGGAUAGGAGCUCCUGCUGCAUGGUGGGGGUUGGAAAGUUUCGGCGGUUGGGGAUGGACUCGCGGCUUAUCAGCUUGUUGGUGGGGUAGUGGCUUACCAAGGCUUUGACGGGUAGCCGGCCUGAGAGGGUGACCGGCCACAUUGGGACUGAGAUACGGCCCAGACUCCUACGGGAGGCAGCAGUGGGGAAUAUUGCACAAUGGGCGGAAGCCUGAUGCAGCAACGCCGCGUGCGGGAUGACGGCCUUCGGGUUGUAAACCGCUUUCGCCUGUGACGAAGCGUGAGUGACGGUAAUGGGUAAAGAAGCACCGGCUAACUACGUGCCAGCAGCCGCGGUGAUACGUAGGGUGCGAGCGUUGUCCGGAUUUAUUGGGCGUAAAGGGCUCGUAGGUGGUUGAUCGCGUCGGAAGUGUAAUCUUGGGGCUUAACCCUGAGCGUGCUUUCGAUACGGGUUGACUUGAGGAAGGUAGGGGAGAAUGGAAUUCCUGGUGGAGCGGUGGAAUGCGCAGAUAUCAGGAGGAACACCAGUGGCGAAGGCGGUUCUCUGGGCCUUUCCUGACGCUGAGGAGCGAAAGCGUGGGGAGCGAACAGGCUUAGAUACCCUGGUAGUCCACGCUGUAAACGGUGGGUACUAGGUGUGGGGUCCAUUCCACGGGUUCCGUGCCGUAGCUAACGCUUUAAGUACCCCGCCUGGGGAGUACGGCCGCAAGGCUAAAACUCAAAGGAAUUGACGGGGCCCCGCACAAGCGGCGGAGCAUGCGGAUUAAUUCGAUGCAACGCGUAGAACCUUACCUGGGUUUGACAUGGAUCGGGAGUGCUCAGAGAUGGGUGUGCCUCUUUUGGGGUCGGUUCACAGGUGGUGCAUGGCUGUCGUCAGCUCGUGUCGUGAGAUGUUGGGUUAAGUCCCGCAACGAGCGCAACCCUUGUUCACUGUUGCCAGCACGUUAUGGUGGGGACUCAGUGGAGACCGCCGGGGUCAACUCGGAGGAAGGUGGGGAUGACGUCAAGUCAUCAUGCCCCUUAUGUCCAGGGCUUCACGCAUGCUACAAUGGCUGGUACAGAGAGUGGCGAGCCUGUGAGGGUGAGCGAAUCUCGGAAAGCCGGUCUCAGUUCAGAUUGGGGUCUGCAACUCGACCUCAUGAAGUCGGAGUCGCUAGUAAUCGCAGAUCAGCAACGCUGCGGUGAAUACGUUCCCGGG
Molecule: ribosomal RNA, 1343 nt
Filed under: uncultured bacterium
Lineage: Bacteria
Description: 16S ribosomal RNA
Rfam family: Bacterial small subunit ribosomal RNA
Source: RNAcentral